CCUACGGGAGGCAGCAGUGGGGAAUAUUGGGCAAUGGGCGCAAGCCUGACCCAGCAACGCCGCGUGAAGGAAGAAGGCUUUCGGGUUGUAAACUUCUUUUGUCAGGGAAGAGUAGAAGACGGUACCUGACGAAUAAGCCACGGCUAACUACGUGCCAGCAGCCGCGGUAAUACGUAGGUGGCAAGCGUUGUCCGGAUUUACGGGGUGUAAAGGGCGUGUAGCCGGGUUGACAAGUCAGAUGUGAAAUCCUGCGGCUUAACCGCAGAACUGCAUUUGAAACUGUUGCUCUUGAGUACUGGAGAGGCAGACGGAAUUCCUAGUGUAGCGGUGAAAUGCGUAGAUAUUAGGAGGAACACCAGUGGCGAAGGCGGUCUGCUGGACAGCAACUGACGGUGAGGCGCGAAAGCGUGGGGAGCAAACAGGAUUAGAUACCCCAGUAGUC
Molecule: ribosomal RNA, 442 nt
Filed under: uncultured bacterium
Lineage: Bacteria
Description: partial 16S ribosomal RNA
Rfam family: Bacterial small subunit ribosomal RNA
Source: RNAcentral